AGGGGCAGCGGGUAGAUGAGCUUGCUCAUUUAUGCCGGCGACCGGCGCACGGGUGAGUAACACGUAUGCAACCUGCCCGUCUCAGGGGGAUAAUCGUCGGAAACGGCGUCUAAUACCCCGUAUGAAGCCGGACGGCAUCGUCUGGUUUUGAAAGAAUAUCGGAGACGGAUGGGCAUGCGGCGCAUUAGCUAGUUGGCGGGGUAACGGCCCACCAAGGCGACGAUGCGUAGGGGUUCUGAGAGGAAGGUCCCCCACACUGGUACUGAGACACGGACCAGACUCCUACGGGAGGCAGCAGUGAGGAAUAUUGGUCAAUGGGCGAGAGCCUGUACCAGCCAAGUCGCGUGAGGGAGUACUGCCCUAUGGGUUGUAAACCUCUUUUGUCGGGGAGCAAAAGCCGGACGUGUCCGGCUGUGAGAGUACCCGAAGAAAAAGCAUCGGCUAACUCCGUGCCAGCAGCCGCGGUAAUACGGAGGAUGCGAGCGUUAUCCGGAUUUAUUGGGUUUAAAGGGUGCGCAGGCGGAUUUUUAAGUCAGCGGUCAAAUCGUGGGGCUCAACCCCAUCCAGCCGUUGAAACUGGGGAUCUAGAGUGUGCGAGAGGUAUGCGGAAUGCGUGGUGUAGCGGUGGAAUGCAUAGAUAUCACGCAGAACCCCGAUUGCGAAGGCAGCAUACCGGUGCACAACUGACGCUCAGGCACGAAAGCGUGGGUAUCGAACAGGAUUAGAUACCCUGGUAGUCCACGCAGUACACGAUGAAUGCUACCUG
RNAcentral lists this ribosomal RNA (766 nucleotides) under uncultured bacterium. RNAcentral's name for it is "bacterial SSU rRNA". It matches the Rfam family "Bacterial small subunit ribosomal RNA", at positions 65 to 822 of the family's 1533-position model. The record is from RNAcentral.